CACAGGUUGCUGGUUUGUUUGCCUUACUGUGUUGUACCUUGCCUGAACACCCUGUGAUGGUGACCUUGGUCAGUUGCCUGACUUUGUCUCUUGAUCAUGUUUAGACCAGGACUGAUCCUCUGUGUUUGGCAUUAGUUUGUUUGGAGUGUAUAGUAUCUGUAGUUGUGUUCUUAUUGUUGACAACCGUAAUUUAAGCUGCACAUUUUAAGAAGCUUCCAGCUUUUUCAGAGGACUAUGGCUGAUACAAACCAUCUUGUGGGAUUAGUGGUCAUCCUAAAAGUAUCCAUCUGAAGAAAAGUGGGCAUUUCUUAGGAGGCAAAGAAAUAAAAAAGACAUUUAAGUAGAGAAUAAAACAAAAGAAAAGAUUUAAAAAACCCAAUAUUAGUUGUCUCCAUUCGAGGUGAAAGGACAUGGAACACUGUGGCCAAGUCAUCUCUGUCCAAAAGGAGCUGAAGCUGGCAAACCAACUGGAGCUGGAGAAAGGCACUCUAGCCACUGAAGUCACCUGAGCCUCCAGUGACAACGUUGGAUCCAGGAGUAUUCCCAAGAUCUGGACCUGCUCUAUCCAGAGGAGUGCAACCUCAUCCAGAACAGGUUGUCUCCCUACCUCCCAGACCCAAGAACUCUGGACACAGAACACCUCUGUCUUUUCAGGAUUCAGCCUCAGUUUAUUGGCCCGCAUUCAUCCUAUUGCUACCUCCAAGGACUGGUUCAACACCUCAACCACCUCUCCUAAUUCAACUGAAUGGAGAGGUAGAGCUGGAUCUCAUCUGCCCAUUGAUGGGACCUCACCCAGAUCUCCUGAUAACAGCUCCCAAUGGCUUCAUAUAGAUGUUAAAUAGCAUGGGGGACAAGAUGGACCAUGUAGAGCACUACAGAACAGUUCCCUUGGUGCUGAGCAAUAGCCUCCCAUAACUAUGUUUUGGAAGUGGCUAUGGAGGUAUGUGGAGAACCAGUGAAGCACAGUGGACCCAACCUCCACCUCCCUGAGAUGCUCCAGAAGAAUACCAUGGUCAACAGUAUCGAAAGCCGCUGAGAGAUCAAGGAGAAUGAACAGGGUUGCAUUCCCACCAUCUCUUUCCUGGCCAACCAGGGUGACCAAAGUCAUGGCCAGGCCUGAAGCCAGACCAAGUAAUAGAUUAAAUGAUCUAAUUAGUAAGUAUAUCAAAGAAGAUCAGAUGGGCUUCAUAAAAAAUAGUACAUUACUAAUAAAUGUUAGAAAACCUAUUAAUAUAACUCACACUAUGCAAUUGGCCACUGUGAGAACAGGAUCCUGGACUAGAUAGGCCAUUGACCUGAUCCAGCAGGGCUCUUCCUAUGUUCUUAACUGAGUGGGAAAGGCAAAUUGCAUGGAUUCAUUCCACACAAGCCUCUCUCUCUCUCUCUCUCUCUCGUACAUGCACACACACACACACACACGCCCAGCCCAGCCCAGGUGGUUGUAAAGCUUUCAGAGUGAUAGCAACACAAUUGACUGAACCAAUAGCAAAAUGACUCCCAGACUGCUGCUAUAAAACAGGGGUAGGCAUAUUUCAAGUCUGUGCAAUUUACUUUGUUUUUUUGCUAGAACCCUAAGACAUAAGAAGGAAAGGAUUCCAAGCCCAAGAAUUUGUUCUGAGUACCAGAACUGAAUGGAGCUUGCAGCCCUUCCAUGCACAAAAAUACACUCUUGGUUAACCCCCCCUUCUUCAUUUCAACAAUAUUGUUAUAGGAUUGCGGGGGUGGGUUUGGAUGAUAUCUGUGAGACCCUGUUUAGUUUAUAGUUGCGUGCCUGUAGGAGAUGCAACCUGCAAAGGAAGAAACCUGUUCCACUGGUCAGACUAGUCACCUUUGUUAAUCUAACAGAGCAGCUCAUGGGUCUGUCAGACCCCCACAUUAACAAGUGUAAGAAUCUGCCAGAGAGGCAAUGUGGGCCAUUUAGGAUUCUUUCAGGAGAGAGGCCCUCCUCCCACAUCACCUGGCUGGAGGCUCCCCCCUUCCUGGAUGGUUGUAGUCUAGUCUGGAGAAGUGGGGAACGAAGGAGACACAGAGAAACCUACUCUCUGUGCCAUGGCUUUGGGGUGCAUCCCUGCAAGCCUCAUGGAAAAGCAAGUUCUACAGUACUGGACUGUUAAUGCCUUGAACCCUUCCAUCUUAAGCUCAGGUAGUGAAUGUGUGUAAAUAAACCAUAUAGCAUAAAGACACUAUAGUCUCCUCUGACCUUUCCAAGGAAACCAAACCUUGGGUAAGUACAGGGACCCCUGGAAGUCUUGCACUGCUUGGAGAUUGGGGCAGAGCACAAUAUAAUUGGGCAGAUGUAGGGGAGGCAUUAUUUUGUUGCUAUUGUUAAACAAUUGGGAAUCAGAAAUCCUUACUGAUUGUGUUCAGAUUACGCAAAGAUCUAGCAGUAGGUCCUGAUCUUUCUGCUCCCCUUCCUUGCUGAAAAGGGCUCCUUAGUCUUUAGAUGCAAAUCUGUACAGGUAUCAAUAGCUGCCUUUUGGUAAACAAUGUUCCACUCCAUUGAAGUUGCCUGCUUUACUGCUAAUUAAAGGCACAACAAAAGCAAUUUCGUGAAGUGGUAAU
Rhineura floridana is the source of this 2562-nucleotide long non-coding RNA. RefSeq lists it as uncharacterized. The record is from RefSeq and is a predicted model, not a curated record. Lineage: Eukaryota; Metazoa; Chordata; Lepidosauria; Squamata; Rhineuridae. The transcript is spliced from 4 exons.